RNAcentral lists this ribosomal RNA (253 nucleotides) under uncultured bacterium. Its description in RNAcentral is "partial 16S ribosomal RNA". It matches the Rfam family "Bacterial small subunit ribosomal RNA", at positions 524 to 776 of the family's 1533-position model. The record is from RNAcentral.
UACAGAGGUCUCAAGCGUUGUUCGGAUUCAUUGGGCGUAAAGGGUGCGUAGGCGGACCUGUAAGUCAGUGGUGAAAUCUCUCAGCUUAACUGAGAAACUGCCAUUGAUACUGCAAGUCUAGAGUAUAGAUGACGUUGGCGGAAUAUGACAUGUAGUGGUGAAAUACUUAGAUAUGUCAUAGAACACCGAUUGCGAAGGCAGCUAACGAAACUAUAACUGACGCUGAGGCACGAAAGUGCGGGGAUCAAACAGG